This 506-nucleotide ribosomal RNA is filed under the name uncultured bacterium. RNAcentral's name for it is "bacterial SSU rRNA". It matches the Rfam family "Bacterial small subunit ribosomal RNA", at positions 30 to 524 of the family's 1533-position model. The record is from RNAcentral.
AUUGAACGCUGGCGGCAUGCCUUACACAUGCAAGUCGAGGGGCAGCGCGGGUAGCAAUACCUGGCGGCGACCGGCAAACGGGUGCGGAACACGUACGCAACCUUCCCAAAACUGGGGAAUAGCCCUCCGAAAGGAGGAUUAAUACCCCGUAACAUAACGAAGUGGCAUCACUUUGUUAUUAUAGUUCCGACGGUUUUGGAUGGGCGUGCGCCUGAUUAGGUAGUUGGCGGGGUAACGGCCCACCAAGCCUACGAUCAGUAACUGGUGUGAGAGCACGACCAGUCACACGGGCACUGAGACACGGGCCCGACUCCUACGGGAGGCAGCAGUAGGGAAUAUUGGACAAUGGGGGCAACCCUGAUCCAGCCAUGCCGCGUGAGUGAAGAAGGCCCUCGGGUUGUAAAGCUCUUUUGUCCGGAAAGAAAAGCAAUCGGUUAAUACCCGGUUGUUCUGACGGUACCGGAAGAAUAAGCACCGGCUAACUUCGUGCCAGCAGCCGCGGUAAG